CAAUAGCGUAUAUUUAAGUUGCUGCAGUUAAAAAGCUCGUAGUUGGGUUUCGGGUGGGAAUGGCCGGUCCGCCGUUUCGGUGUGCACUUGCUACGCCCACCUUGCUGCCGGGGACGUGCUCUUGAGUUCACGCUCGGGACACGGAGUCGGCGAGGUUACUUUGAGUAAAUUAGAGUGUUCAAAGCAGGCCUACGCUCUGAAUACAUUAGCAUGGAAUAACACGAUAGGACUCUGGCCUAUCUUGUUGGUCUGUAGGACCGGAGUAAUGAUUAAGAGGGACAGUCGGGGGCACUCGUAUUUCAUUGUCAGAGGUGAAAUUCUUGGAUUUAUGAAAGACGAACUACUGCGAAAGCAUUUGCCAAGGAUGUUUUCAUUAA
RNAcentral lists this ribosomal RNA (377 nucleotides) under uncultured eukaryote. Its description in RNAcentral is "partial 18S ribosomal RNA". It matches the Rfam family "Eukaryotic small subunit ribosomal RNA", at positions 592 to 976 of the family's 1831-position model. The record is from RNAcentral.